AAUUUGAAAUCUGGCCCUUUCGGGGUCCGAGUUGUAAUUUGUAGAGAGUGCUUCGGGGGAGACCGCGGUCUAAGUCCAUUGGAACAUGGCGUCCCAGAGGGUGAGAAUCCCGUAUGUGACCGUGGCUCGAGCCCAUGUGAAGCCUCUUCGACGAGUCGAGUUGUUUGGGAAUGCAGCUCUAAAUGGGUGGUAAAUUUCAUCUAAAGCUAAAUAUUGGCUGGAGACCGAUAGCGCACAAGUAGAGUGAUCGAAAGAUGAAAAGCACUUUGGAAAGAGAGUUAAACAGUACGUGAAAUUGUUGAAAGGGAAGCGCUUGCAACCAGACCUGCCCGUAGGCGAUCACCCGCUGUUCUCAGCGGUGCACUCGUUCUGCGAUCAGGCCAGCAUCGGUUCUGGCGGCCGGAUAAAGGCCUUGGGAAUGUAGCUUCCCUUCGGGGGAGUCUUAUAGCCCUCGGUGCAAUGCGGCCAGCCGGGACCGAGGACCGCGCUUCGGCUAGGAUGCUGGCGUAAUGGUUGUAAGCGACCC
This 526-nucleotide ribosomal RNA is filed under the name Melanohalea exasperata. RNAcentral describes it as "eukaryotic LSU rRNA". It matches the Rfam family "Eukaryotic large subunit ribosomal RNA", at positions 112 to 650 of the family's 3401-position model. The record is from RNAcentral. Lineage: Eukaryota; Fungi; Ascomycota; Lecanoromycetes; Lecanorales; Parmeliaceae.